RNAcentral lists this non-coding RNA (99 nucleotides) under Clostridium cylindrosporum. RNAcentral describes it as "SAM-I sequence". It matches the Rfam family "SAM riboswitch aptamer (S box leader)". From Rfam's summary of the family: The SAM riboswitch is found upstream of a number of genes which code for proteins involved in methionine or cysteine biosynthesis in Gram-positive bacteria. The SAM riboswitch acts at the level of transcription termination control. The predicted structure consists of a complex stem-loop region followed by a single stem loop terminator region. RNAcentral also lists the same sequence under 1 other name. The record is from RNAcentral. Lineage: Bacteria; Bacillati; Bacillota; Clostridia; Eubacteriales; Clostridiaceae.
CUCUUAUUAAGAGAGGCCGAGGGAACUGGCCCUAUGACGCCCAGCAACCAAGCUUUUGCUAAGGUGCUAAGUCCAGCAGCAUUGUCUGAAAAAUGAGAG